This 269-nucleotide ribosomal RNA is filed under the name uncultured bacterium. RNAcentral describes it as "partial 16S ribosomal RNA". It matches the Rfam family "Bacterial small subunit ribosomal RNA", at positions 793 to 1055 of the family's 1533-position model. The record is from RNAcentral.
GUCCUGGCCUUAAACGAUGGAUGCUUGGUGUCUGGGGUUUUAUAGUCCCCGGGUGCCGCAGCUAACGCGUUAAGCAUCCCGCCUGGGGAGUACGGUCGCAAGACUGAAACUCAAAGGAAUUGACGGGGACCCGCACAAGCGGUGGAGCAUGUGGUUCAAUUCGACGCAACGCGAAGAACCUUACCAGGGCUAGAAUGCCUCUGACAACUCCAGAGAUGGAGCCUCUUAGGGAAACCUAGGCAGAGUGCAAGGUGCUGCAUGGCUGUCGU